CUUCCUCCUUCUACCUACCCACAAUCUGUUGCUCGUUGCCUGCUGUUUCCUAGCAGCCUUUCUCAAAGCAGAGCUUUUUAUGAGAAGUUGAACUGUGUGAGACUGGCAGACACGGGGAACGGGACUGGCUCUAGUAGAGUCCUGUUUCACUGUGGGUCCCUCCAAGAUUAGACACUGAUAUGGGAAAAAGGCAUGCAAAAGGAUAAAAGAAAGAAGAAAGGAGUACAAAGACUACAGAUGACAACAUUUUAAAAAGACUUCAUAAAGGCACAAGAUGGGCUCACAAGCAUGAAGAGGUAACAACCUCAGUGAUCUCACACCCCAGGAUCCUGAUGUAAGUAAAGAAGGCAGACUGGCUGCCUUAGCUGGGGAAUAGAGGUGGGUCCAUGGGAGGGGCUGUAAUGAGCUUAAAUUGAGAGGGAGGGGUGGUAGUGAAGCAGGAGCAGCAAGAGCAUCCAAGGAACACUGCUGAGGACAUCUGGGUGACCAGAAGAAGAGAGUGCCUUCUGGCAGUGGGAGGGGUAAAUGUGCCUGGGGGAUGCCUCAGUAAGGCGGAGCCCAAGGCCAGUGACAUUCUCUGACCACAGUGUUCACUUGGCACCAAACCUCAGGGCCAUCUUGCUUCAUCUCCCUAGAACUCAUCAGCAACUGUGACUCCAGUUUUCUCACCAAAGCUACAGGGAGGAAACACUCAGUGAUAAUCCAAAGGCAAGGACAAUUGACUAGUUAAACAGAGAUGGCCCCAGUUUAAGACCUUUGCCCCGUUGUUACCCUGCCACCUCUUCGUUACCCUGUAUCGCAAGUCCUUACUUUCCCAGGUUUGGUGGAGAGGGAAAAGGAUUCCAAGACUGUUGUAAGCAAGCGGGGCCACUCCCAAUAAAUGAGACCAUCCCGUACCCUAGGGACUGACUCAGUUGAGUUUCACUGGUCAGAAGAAUCUGAAUUUCAGACAAAGGAGGUCUCUGUUUCUUACCUUGUAGAUAACAAUGGCUCUACUAUGAGAACAAUUCUAGGGUGAUACAAUAUUACAGAGAACCAGGACCCUAGAGAUUAUUACAUAUUCAUCCAACAACCUCGUUGACACAUGAGGGGACUUAAGAAAAUGGCAAUGGCAUCAGUGUCCAAGCCAACCAGGAAGUUGGUGAAAGAAUCUGCACUAGAACCCAGAAGUCUUGACCCAAUACCACACUAGCCCUUCUCCUAUCUUACCCACCCUGGCCCUCUUAGAUGGCAAAGGUUUCCACCCAGGGGCAACUCUGAGCAACCAAGGAAGGAAGGUCUGAAUUUGCAAAACUGCUUUGUGGAAACUACUGCUCUUUAGGAGACCUUCUUAUGUUGCAGCCAGCCCUGGGACUGUGUCCUUGCCUCCCUGCAUCCUGUAGGGAGAGAGAGAACCGAAAUUUUUGUUCUAAAAGCCCUUCCGGCCACCAAGCCUGCCCCCUCUGGCCAAACCCAGUACCUGAUUUCAUCCUAGUGGAUCUCCACCCACCAGUCUCGGUGCCUUCUCCUGGAGCAAAGGGGCUGAUACCUUAUCAGGUACAAGGUGGAAGUGGAACAUGUUGCACAGACAUCCCAUAAAUGCUCUGCAAGUGAAUAACUAAGGUUCCACAUCUCCUACACUGCAUCCAGUUCACACUUCCAAAAGCAUCCAGCAAACUUGCGUUCAACCUGUGGAUCAGAUUAGGUCAAAUAAACAGAUAUUUAUUGAGGUAUUAUUGGAAAGGCAAUGUACAGGUGCUGAGCUCUACACAAAGACAUGCCCGAGUCCCUGCCUUCAAAGGACUCAAAAGCUAACUGGGGGAGACCAGGUGAUAUUUCAUUUUAAGUUAAUAUCGCAAGGUAGUGAUACAAGAGGUGCCAUGAAGCAACAAGUAACCAUUUGCAAAAUUACUGGAAUAGAAAAUCUGUGUAUUGGUACACAGGAAAAAACACUGUGAACUGAACAGUUCAGGGAAGCUUGUAGAAAAGGAAAAACCUCAUCAGGGCUUUGAAGGAUGGGUAGAAUUCAAAGGAGUGGAGAGAAGGUUUGAAAGAGUGUUACAGAAAUUGGUAACUGAGAAAAGAUACAAAAAUAGGAAAAUGCAAGUGUGUUG
Neofelis nebulosa (Clouded leopard) is the source of this 2093-nucleotide long non-coding RNA. RefSeq lists it as uncharacterized. The record is from RefSeq and is a predicted model, not a curated record. The transcript is spliced from 3 exons. NCBI's taxonomy places the organism in Eukaryota, Metazoa, Chordata, Mammalia, Carnivora, Felidae.